RNAcentral lists this long non-coding RNA (694 nucleotides) under Glycine max (soybean). Its description in RNAcentral is "uncharacterized LOC110386944, transcript variant 2 (LOC110386944)". Lineage: Eukaryota; Viridiplantae; Streptophyta; Magnoliopsida; Fabales; Fabaceae. The record is from RNAcentral.
GAUAGAUGAUUUUGCGUUGAAACUCUUUCUUCACCAAAGCACUGGUUGGAGGCUUAUCCUGUCCCAAUCCAAAUCCUAGCCGGUAUACAUCUCCAAACUCGGAUAGGCAAAGCAGACAACAAAUCCAUGAGGGGUUGAUUGUAGUCAUCGAAAGAAAGAACAGAAUCAACAUCAGAUUGAUCAAUUCCUGCACUCUUGAGGUCUAUGCAUGAGACCUUGAAGCCAGAGUUCUCCAUUAGGCACCUGAUUUUGUACCAGCACCAACCUCCUCCACCAACGCCAUGCACCAGCACAAAGUGCUGCUUCAAGGGAUCAAUUGUUCCUCUUGAAUCACCACUUUCCUCCCUCACUGACAUGGCUUUCUCUGCCUUCACCACCAUGAUGCUUCGCCCAGGUAAAAAAUGAAUGACUUUCUUGAACAAUUGGAAUCAAAUACCAAUGAAGAUGAUGAACUUAUGGAGCAAGCAUCUUAUGUGGUUGUGUUUAUUGGUGAAUAUGCAAUAAAACAUCUAUGUAAAGAGAUAUGUAGAACCAACAAACAAAUAGGGCAUGCAUGGGUGCAAGAAGUAUUGCAAGGUCAUCCUAUUCAUUGUUAUGAGAUGUUUUGUAUGGAAAAACAUAUUUUUUACAUGCUUUGCUCUAAAUUGGUUGAUCACGUGAAAGGAAAUAAGAACCUUCAAGAGAGGUUUUAAGA